This 477-nucleotide ribosomal RNA is filed under the name uncultured bacterium. Its description in RNAcentral is "bacterial SSU rRNA". It matches the Rfam family "Bacterial small subunit ribosomal RNA", at positions 29 to 524 of the family's 1533-position model. The record is from RNAcentral.
AAUGAACGCUGGCGGCGUGCCUAACACAUGCAAGUCGGAUGUGCCGCAAGGUGCAUGGCAGACGGGUGAGUAACGCGUAGGGAAUCUACCUUUUUGUGGGGAAUAACGCUCCGAAAGGAGUGGUAAUACCGCAUGAGACCGUGACCUGGGAUGGUUACGGUGAAACCUGGGGACCGCAAGGCCUGGGGCAAAAAGAGGAUCCUGCGUCUGAUUAGCUAGUUGGCGGGGUAAUGGCCCACCAAGGCGACGAUCAGUAGCCGGCCUGAGAGGGUGAUCGGCCACACUGGAACUGAGACACGGUCCAGACUCCUACGGGAGGCAGCAGUGGGGAAUUUUGCGCAAUGGACGAAAGUCUGACGCAGCAACGCCGCGUGGGUGAUGAAGGUCUUCGGGUUGUAAAGCACUUUUACCCAUGAAGAUGAUGACUGUAAUGGGAGAAUAAGCCCCGGCUAACUUCGUGCCAGCAGCCGCGGUAAU